GUCCUGAUAAUGAUCUACUAUUCCUGCUUUGUAAGAUAGAAAACUGUCAAGAACAUUCAAGCAUUUUGUUACUGUACGUGUAAAGAUAUUGUGAAGACCUCUAAACUUCUAAGAUCAUGGUUCUUCUAUUUUAUACUCUAUGUCAGUGCUAUGUUGAAAGCAUUUAAGUUUUGGAUCUUCCUAGGCAAUCUUCCAGCAUUUAACUCCGCCUACCAGACAACCUUAAAAAUUUUUACAUCAUUUUUACUCGUUUGGCUCGUUUACUUCUUUGUCAUCCACUGCCGAGCUAAACGAACCACGAAAUAUAUAGACCUAAGACCACGACAACAGCAACAACAACAACAAAACUUUAUUUCUUUUUCAAUAAUUUACAUGAGUUUUAGGUUAAUGAGUUGCGUUACGUCUAGACUUUAUUAUUAAAACUAAUUAAGUUAGAAACUUAAAAAUAAUGACAGAUGAACCCGCAGGUAGUCUUGGCUAAUCUAGGCGAGCCACAGCUAAGACUUAACGCAUAUAUAGAUUUUUCCUCGUUCUUUCAUCCACUGCCGAACUAGACGAGCCAAACAAGCCACUAAAGUUAUGCACCUUCAAAAUGGGACCCUGUAUUGCGUAGUUGCUCUUUUUUGGAAAAAGCAGUCAGUAAUAAAACGUCUUACUUUUGAAAUAAAGUUUCGAGAUAUGAAAUGAAAUGGUUCUUGUUGCUCGGCACUUUGUUUAGUUAGCUUUUCUGAAUAAGAUUUACUUUACAGUAAUCUGCAGAAGCCGCCUUCUGCAUGAAAUUCAAUUGCCCAUCUAAUAUCAAAAGAAAUAAUGGGAAUAUCACUCCUUUGCAGAUCGUUCAAGGUUACAGUGGUUCCAGGGAUCGCACGCGGGAUCACGCGCAAUUGGCCAGGAACAUUGUGACCGAGUGAGCUUGGGGUCAAGAGGUAGAACAAAGAUGGCGGAAGAUUUGCAGAGGCUGCUCUGAGAAUGUUCGCCUCUUGUCGAGAAAUAACCGAACUCUCGAAGACUUAUGCUUAACAGCAGGUUAAGGUUGCAGAGUUCAGAUCAGAUGAGAAGAAGGCAGAAGAAGAUGAAAAUGUGGCAAGAGCAAGUGAUUUUACAUACCGGUACACUGUAUUAGGACACAGACACAUCUCCACAAAGAGAUCAAACCUAGCCAAGCUUUAGACAGACAAUGGUGAGUUAGCAUUUAAUUUAUCCUUUUACAGUAUUAGCUUGCCACAGUUAUAGUGAUAUAGCAUGUUACACUUGUUGAUCAACGGAAAAGUGCUCACAAGCAUAGUUUGAUAUCAGUUAGCUGAUGAGGUAUUCCUUUAGGCAUAGUAAGGUCAACUUCUGAAGAAAAUGAAAUAUUGUGAAAUAAGUUACGUGCAGUGUAUAUGUAAUCAUGUAAGAUCUAGGGGAUGAUUCUUGUAAAAACCUGUAUAGGUUUACUGUAUUUUCCACACCAAACCAAAAUGAAAUGAAUUGCCAUGCUGCACUGUUGCACCACACUAAGCCACACCUUGCCACGUAAUGCAAUGCAAUGUAAUGCAACAAAACAAAACGCGACACAGUACAACUUGGUUCAGUUGGUUCAUUUAGCUGGCUCACUCAAUUCAUUUGGUUCACUUGGUUAACCUGGCUGGUUCACUUGGCUUGUUUACUUUGUUCACCUGAUUCACUUGCCUAGUUCACCUGGUUCAUCUGGUUCACUUGGCUGGUUUCACUUGGUUCAGUUGGCGGUUCCCCUGGUUCACCUGGUUCACUUGGCUGGUUCAAUUGGUUCACCUGGUUUACUAAAGAAGCCAAGUGCAUCAGGUUAACCAAAUUAACCAGCCAAGUGAACCAGGUUAACCAAGGAGGCAAUGGAGGGUGUAAAGAAGACUCAAUUUGAGCUUGUCCUUAGGGCUAGCUGUAACUAUGAUGUACUAACACUAAAGUCAUUCCCACUAGCACGCUCAAAAUGUUUUAAUAGGUAGGUAAGGUAAAAUCUGCAUACGAGCCAAGUGGCUCC
Orbicella faveolata is the source of this 1999-nucleotide long non-coding RNA. The record is from RefSeq and is a predicted model, not a curated record. Lineage: Eukaryota; Metazoa; Cnidaria; Anthozoa; Scleractinia; Merulinidae.